RNAcentral lists this transfer RNA (72 nucleotides) under Fukomys damarensis (Damara mole-rat). It matches the Rfam family "tRNA". From Rfam's summary of the family: Transfer RNA (tRNA) molecules are approximately 80 nucleotides in length. The record is from Rfam by way of RNAcentral. Lineage: Eukaryota; Metazoa; Chordata; Mammalia; Rodentia; Bathyergidae.
GGCGUUACAGCCCAGUGGUAGAGCACUUGCCUAGCAUCCAUGAGACCCUGGGUUUGAUCCCCAGUAAUGCAA